AUAAGAGACAGCAGCAGCCGCGGUAAGACGAACCGUGCGAACGUUAUUCGGAAUCACUGGGCUUAAAGCGCGUGUAGGCGGGACGGCACGUCGGUCGCUGAAAGCCCCCGGCUCAACCGGGGAACGGGCGCCGAUACGACCGUCCUGGAGGGACGUAGGGGGACCUGGAACUUCCGGUGGAGCGGUGAAAUGCGUUGAGAUCGGAAGGAACGCCCGUGGCGAAAGCGAGGUCCUGGACGUUUUCUGACGCUGAGACGCGAAAGCCAGGGGAGCGAACG
Molecule: ribosomal RNA, 278 nt
Filed under: uncultured bacterium
Lineage: Bacteria
Description: partial 16S ribosomal RNA
Rfam family: Bacterial small subunit ribosomal RNA
Source: RNAcentral